CUACUGGUGGUCCAGUGGUUAGGAUGUGGCACUUUCACCGCUAGGGCCUGGGUUCAAUCCCUGGUCAGGGAA
Molecule: transfer RNA, 72 nt
Filed under: Bos taurus (domestic cattle)
Lineage: Eukaryota; Metazoa; Chordata; Mammalia; Artiodactyla; Bovidae
Also listed under: 4 other names
Rfam family: tRNA
About the family: Transfer RNA (tRNA) molecules are approximately 80 nucleotides in length.
Source: Rfam by way of RNAcentral